CUCGAUCUGGAUGUCUGGUGAAGGUGCAAGAUGUCAGGUGUAGAUUCGAUGCGGUUGACCGGUGGUGUGUGUGUCUCAUGCACCAGUAGAAGGCAAUGUCUGACAGUGCGUGCGACUCACGCUCUAAAAAAAGUGGUCACCAUAGUAGAGCUACUGGUCACCAAAGUAAAGCUGCAGACCGUCAGUGAGAAGAUAACUCCACUUGGGUGGGUGGUGAGAGUAGAUCUUGGUAGGUGAGUACCAACUCAGUCUAUUUUGCUAUUUUAGGAUUUGAAAAAAAUAUUAUGAAAUUAUGACCCUAAAAUAGCCUUAUCUG
RNAcentral lists this long non-coding RNA (316 nucleotides) under Carica papaya (papaya). Its description in RNAcentral is "long non-coding RNA (CPAP_LNC006125)". Lineage: Eukaryota; Viridiplantae; Streptophyta; Magnoliopsida; Brassicales; Caricaceae. The record is from RNAcentral.